Molecule: ribosomal RNA, 139 nt
Filed under: uncultured eukaryote
Lineage: Eukaryota
Description: partial 18S ribosomal RNA
Rfam family: Eukaryotic small subunit ribosomal RNA
Source: RNAcentral
UGGUGGUGUGAAUUGUCUGGUUAAUUCCGUUAACGAACGAGACCACAACGUGCUAAAUAGUAUAACCAUUUUUUAAUGGGGAAAUAACUUCUUAGACGGACUAUUCGCUUUUAGCGGAUGGAAGUUUGUGGCAACAACA